RNAcentral lists this small RNA (204 nucleotides) under Bacteroides sp. CAG:754. RNAcentral's name for it is "Bacteroides sRNA BTnc231". It matches the Rfam family "Bacteroides sRNA BTnc231". From Rfam's summary of the family: An uncharacterized small RNA discovered in Bacteroides thetaiotaomicron The record is from Rfam by way of RNAcentral. RNAcentral also lists the same sequence under 1 other name. Lineage: Bacteria; Pseudomonadati; Bacteroidota; Bacteroidia; Bacteroidales; Bacteroidaceae.
ACGUUUUUUUCAUAGAGAUUUAGAUUUAAGGUUAGAAGAAUUGUGGAAGUCGUGAGACUUCCCUUUUUUUCAUCUUAACGUUUACUAUCCUUCAUUAUAGGAAUGCAAGAACACUGUUUUUUAGUGUUCGGUUGAAAAUAUUGCAGGGUGAUGAUGCAGAAUAAGUAAACCUAAAAAGCCUUCUUCGGGAGAAGAGGCUUUUUU